GCAAGUAGAGUAAUUAGAGAAAAAUAAAAAACAUGGCGGUUUUCUAUCGAAUUAGAGGGACAUGUGUUGAAAACGAAUUUGCACGAAUGACUGUUCUUUUUCUUGAAAUCAUCCUACAUACCGCUGUCUGAAAGGUUUUUUAAUAAAAAAUAUCUUUUAUCUGGAUUUAAGGCAAGUAAAGGUGUAGAUUAUGGGGAAGAAGAUGUGUGUUCCAGUAUUAUAAAUGGAGAAGAGAAAUGUUCUAAAGAGAAUUUAACAGUAAAAUUUAUUGAUGAAAUAAAUUUGAAUAGGAAAUGGAAAGUGUACACA
This 309-nucleotide ribosomal RNA is filed under the name Physconelloides spenceri. RNAcentral's name for it is "partial 12S ribosomal RNA". Lineage: Eukaryota; Metazoa; Arthropoda; Insecta; Psocodea; Philopteridae. The record is from RNAcentral.